AUGCAGAUUGUGGUCUGCAUCGACGACAUCUGGAAGAUGGAGCAUGUGCUGGGCUCGUGGUUCGUGGAUGGCAGAUAUAGUUUCCUCCUUCGGCGUUUUAGUCGUGGUGGGGUGCCAGAUCUGGAGUUCGACGACGUGUCCGGGGUGUUGCCCCGGUCUGAUUCGUUCAAUGGUAAGGGCUUCACUUUUGCUUUGCUCCCGCAACUUGGGCACACAAUCCGCCGUCUUCAUCGCUUGGACGUCGAUCGGCACUAUCCGCUCCCACCGCGGGCGACCUCAUGCGACGUCACGAAGCACGCGCACCUGCUCGAGCUGCUUUACCACCUGGUCGUGCCAGCGGUGCCCAUGCUCACUGACACGGAGAAUGCACACACCACCCUGCUGUUUUUCGGAGAAAUCGAAGUGCAUAUCUCUGUCCCUGAGGAGCAGCAACCGGGCGGCGGCAGCCAAGGCCAGGAGGAGAAGCCUUGCACUGGCACCGGCAGCGAGCACGUGAUGAUGCAACUGUUCGAGUUCAUCGCGUUGAAGCUCAAGGGUGGUCGCCUUGGCAAGGAGAUCACGAUCCCACCGGUGUUCGAGCUGGUUAGCUCCGGCGUUAAGUUUGCGCCCACCAACGGCAACAUGUCUAGUGCGUCAACUAUCGCAUUCAACCGCAAGACAGCGACACUCUACCUCGCCGCGGUGACCCUCGACGGCAACACAGAGGUGGUGCUCCAGAACCUGAUCGCCUUCGAGUCAUCCGCCGCGUCAGGCCCGCUGGUGCUCACCCGGUACACGGAGCUCAUGAACGGCAUCAUUGACACAGACGACGACGUUGCACUGCUCCGCAAGCGGGGCAUCGUGCUCAACCACAUGAAGAAAAGGGACAGCGAGGGGGCCAACCUGUGCAACGGCAUGAGCCGGUCGGUGUAG
RNAcentral lists this ribosomal RNA (912 nucleotides) under Triticum aestivum (bread wheat). Its description in RNAcentral is "partial small subunit ribosomal RNA". Lineage: Eukaryota; Viridiplantae; Streptophyta; Magnoliopsida; Poales; Poaceae. The record is from RNAcentral.